Molecule: ribosomal RNA, 786 nt
Filed under: uncultured archaeon
Lineage: Archaea
Description: bacterial SSU rRNA
Rfam family: Archaeal small subunit ribosomal RNA
Source: RNAcentral
UUCCGGUUGAUCCUGCCGGACCCGACUGCUAUCGGAAUAGGACUAAGCCAUGCGAGUCGAACGUCCUUUGACCAUGUAAAGGACGUGGCACACGGCUCAGUAACACGUAGUCAACCUGCCCUGGAGCCUUGGAUAACCCCGGGAAACUGGGACUAAAACAAGAUAGGUCAAGAUUUCUGGAAAGGGUCUUGACUGAAAUAGCUUCUAAGCAUGUUUAGAUGUCUUCUCUAGGAUGGGACUGCGGCCGAUCAGGUUGUUGGUGGGGUAAAGGCCCACCAAGCCGAUUACCGGUACGGGCUUUGGGAGAAGGAGCCCGGAGAUGGACCCUGAGAGAAGGGUCUAGGCCCUACGGGGCGCAGCAGGCGCGAAAUCUUCGCAAUGCGCGAAAGCGCGACGAGGUUAUUCCGAGUGCAAUCUGCUGAAGAUAGCUUUUGUCAGGUGUAAAUAGCCUGGAGAAUAAGGGGAGGGAAAGCCUGGUGUCAGCCGCCGCGGUAAAACCAGCUCCUCGAGUGGUCGGGAUGAUUAUUGGGCCUAAAGCAUCCGUAGCCGGUCCCGCAGGUCUCCUGUUAAAUCCAACGGCUCAACCGUUGGGCUGCGGGAGAUACCACGGGACUAGGAGGCGGGAGAGGCAGACGGUAUUCCGUGGGUAGGGGUAAAAUCCGCUGAUCCACGGAGGACCACCAGUGGCGAAGGCGGUCUGCCAGAACGCGCUCGACGGUGAGGGAUGAAAGCUGGGGGAGCAAACCGGAUUAGAUACCCGGGUAGUCCCAGCUGUAAACUAUGCAA